CUUCGCUGUUUUACUUCAAGGAAAGGAUGACAAUAUUACAAAGUGUCACACUUCUUUACAUUCUGCUCUGGAUGUCACGUCACUGCAAGUCCAUCCUAGUACAACAGUCGCCCAAGGUACUUAACAAGAGACCAGGUGACCCGGCAGAGCUCUAUUGCCAUCAUGAUGAGAGCAGCUACCUCUACAUGUACUGGUACCAACAGAUAAGGGGGCACGGUGGGCUGAAGCUCAUGACCUACUCCGAUAGCACUGGCCAGACCUUCGAUGAAGAUGAGUUUAAAGGCAGAUUAAACACCACCCGGGAAGGAGCUCAGAAAGGCUGGCUCACCAUCAAAAGCUUAAAAGUCACCGACACGGGAUUGUAUUUCUGCGCAGCAAGUAUGCACAGCGACACAGCUCUGCUGAGGAGGGUGCAGAAAACUCCCCCAAGCUGUUACUGCUGCAUCUUCUUGUAGGGUUGCCACCUUUUCAAAUGGCUAUAGUGGGACAUUUUCGGGACACACAUCAGA
Protopterus annectens (West African lungfish) is the source of this 509-nucleotide non-coding RNA. Lineage: Eukaryota; Metazoa; Chordata; Ceratodontiformes; Protopteridae. The record is from the annotation of a RefSeq genome assembly.